GUUGGUUUUGUUUUCCACUUGGUUUCAAGUUCUGCAGACAAAGCUAGAGCUGGAAAGGAUACUUUGCUUCAAAGAAGAAAUCAGUAUGAACUUCCAAGCUAAAAGAAAGGCUAAACCAGAUUAGAUGAGCAGAACAUAAAGGCAGUGAUGAUCUGCUGAAGGGGUAUGGCUACAAGUGGACUGAAUUUGUGGAUUCUGUGAGACAAGAGUAGAAGAUAAAAGGAAGAGCUGCCUAAAUACUCUAAGAAAGAAGCCUCAGUGCUGGUGGUGUUUUCCAAAGCUGCCCUACAUUCCAUCCCUGGCAGUCAGAACUGCUCUGUGGCCCCAACAUGUGGCACCACCAUGACCCAGGUGAAGGCUACA
This is a long non-coding RNA of Ficedula albicollis (Collared flycatcher), 363 nucleotides long. RefSeq lists it as uncharacterized. The transcript is spliced from 3 exons. NCBI's taxonomy places the organism in Eukaryota, Metazoa, Chordata, Aves, Passeriformes, Muscicapidae. The record is from RefSeq and is a predicted model, not a curated record.